Molecule: long non-coding RNA, 2233 nt
Filed under: Homo sapiens (human)
Lineage: Eukaryota; Metazoa; Chordata; Mammalia; Primates; Hominidae
Description: HSALNT0366420
Source: RNAcentral
GACAAGAGGAUGGGACUGCAGUUGUGGCUGCCAGGGCCCCGGCCAGGGUGAAAACAAGGAACAUUCCAGAGAAGAUCACAAGGAUGCGAAUAAAAUCGGAGCUGCACAGGGAUCUUUGGGCUGUAAUAGGAGGGGACACACAGGGGUUGGAGUGCAGUGGCACGAUCUCGGCUCAGUGCAACCUCCGCCUCCUGAGUUCAAGUGAUUCUCCUGCCUCAGCCUCCCUAGUAGCUGGGAUUACAGGACAAGGAGAGGGACAAAUUCCUUCUUGGCAUCCUUAUGGCCCUGUGACCUGCUAAUGAAUGCUGACUCUGAGUUGCUACUAGAAUUUGGUUUCCUUGUGGCUUCCCAGGAAUUGUGAGCCAUGUUGGAUAAGGACCUGCAAGGGAAGAAUGAGGAAGCCUGGGACAGUGCAGGAGGGGAGAGCACUGGUGGUAGAGAGGAGUGAUGACAAGGGUCUCCGCCAAAAGGGAAAUGGAGGGGUUAAAGAAGCUGCUGGGGAGGGUUAAAAACAAUGUGUUCUCACUCGUAGGUGGGAAUUGAACAAUGAGAACACUUGGACACAGGAAGGGGAACAUCACACACUGGGGCCUGUCGUGGGGUGUGGGGAGGGAGGAGGGAUAGCAUUAGGAGAUAUACCUAAUGUAAAUGAUGAGUUAAUGGGUGCAGCACACCAACAUGGCACAUGUAUACCUAUGUAACAAACCUGCACAUUGUGUACAUGUACCCUAGAACUUAAAGUAUAAUUAAAAAACAAAACAAAACAAAACAAAAACAAUGAGGUGCUAUUGUUUUAGUGGUGAGUAUCCGGAGACCUGGGAGUUCUAUUUACCAGGUAUAACCUGGGCUCAAAAUUCCAGGCUGACUUCAGGCAUGUCCUCAUCUCAUAGAUGCCAGCACUAAGGCCCAGAGAGGGCCGAGCUCAUUCAGCCCACCCAUCUUCUCACCCCUGACUGCAUUUCCCGGGGGUCCUUCUGCAGCCAGGUGCUGCUGUGGUACUUUGGGAUCUAUUGGCUGAGCUCCCAGAGAAGGGUCAUGGAUUGGGCUAGUUUGGAACAAGUGAAGGGACUGAAGAUGGGCUCAGUAUGGGGCGAAGACCUUCAGGAAGGGUCUGCAGAGUGAGUAGGGGGGUUUUGACUAGGAAAAGUUCCAACCCUGCCGGGGCCGCUGUCAAGAGAAAAGCAUCUAUUACAGUUACAUUUUUAAGUUAAGUAGACUGAAGAAUAUUUCUUGUGUAUUAAAGACGUUCCUUUUUGGUUGAUUUGCAAUGGAAAAGCUUUUGUUUUCUUUUUUUUUUUGGAAACAGGGUCUCACUCUGCUCACUCUGUCUCCCAAGCUGGAGUGCAGUGGUACAGUCACGGCUCACUGCAGCCUCCACUUCCUGGACUCAAGUGAUCUUCUCACUUCAGCCUUCUGAGUAGCUGGGACUACAGCCCCCUCUGCAGCUCUUCAUGGGGGUCCACUCAAGUCAGAAGCCACAUUUGGGUGUGAUUCAGAGAGCUGUUUAUGCAAAACCAGCUUUGUCACCAUCAGGCAAGGCACCUGAAUUCCCACCGCAGAGAGUGUUGUGGCCGUGAGGACUUUUCUGUCACCAGCCAUUUCCAGGUAGACCCAGUGUAAUCACAAGCAUCCUUGUAAGUGGCAAAGAGGCAGAGGAGACAGCGCCAGAGAGGCAGCUGCAUGAGAAGGAUCAAGAUGUUGCUGACUUUGAAGUUGGAAGAAGAAGGCCAUGAGCCUCAGUAUGUGGGCGGCUUCUAGAAGCUGGAAGGGGCAAGGAGAUGGAUUUGACCCUUCAGCCUCCAGGGGCAGCUGUACCUGCCAUCACUGAUUGUAGCCUGGUGAGGCCUGUUUUAGACUUCUGACCUGUAGAGCUGUAACAUAAUACAUUUGGGUUGUUUUCAACCACUAAGUUUGUGGUAAUUUGUUGUAGCAGCUGUAGAAAAUGAAUACAUAUGAAUCCUCUGGCAUUUGUUUGAGAUUUGCUCUAUGGCCUAGUAUGUGGUUGUAAAUGUUCCAUCUGUGCCUGAAAAAAUGUAUAUUUCUAAUUCAGUAGUCUCUGCUUUUUUUUUUUAUUUUGUACCCCAUCAAUAAAAUGAUUUUCAGCAUGUAUCCCCAAAUAAACAAUAUUUUAUUUAUUGAUUGAUUGAUAAACAGACAUGUUUAAUGAUAGCUUGCUUUUCACAGAGGUGACUUCGGAGACUUCUAAUCUAUAAUCCAGGAGUAUAUAACCAUG